Long non-coding RNA from Panicum virgatum (switchgrass), 887 nucleotides. RefSeq lists it as uncharacterized. Lineage: Eukaryota; Viridiplantae; Streptophyta; Magnoliopsida; Poales; Poaceae. The record is from RefSeq and is a predicted model, not a curated record. The transcript has 2 exons.
GUGCCUUUGGAACCCAUCGUUAUGGCCUUCAUUUGUGCUAGUUUAAGUUAAUUUACAAAUAAAUUCAGAGCUACUAUUCACAUGUCCUAAUCAUUGGCCACAACUAGUUUAUUGCUAUACUACAUUGCUUCAUCAAAUUGGUUUCCUGAUUGUACACUUGUUUCAUAUACACCUGUGUACAUGUUUCUUACUAUCAUUCUAUUAGCUUUGAUUAUACGAUGAAUGCACACGAGAAGUGGAGCUGCUUAAUUCCCAGAGCUGCAGCUGCCCUUUUUUUAUACAUCACCAGUCAAAAAGAGCAUUUAGGAGGUAUGGAAGCCUACUACUACUACCACUACUCUCUACUGUUGCCAUGCUGCAGCUUGUUGCUACAACUACUAUCAUAACUAGCUACUGCUAGUUAUGAGAUGAGCUUCUUGGUAGUACAAUAAUGCAAUUGCAUUGCAUAUUCAUAGCUGCUUUCUAUUCUACUAAUAUUAGUCACGGAUUGUUCCUUUCAUCUUGUUUGUGAUGUAGUGAGGGAUCCUCUACUCAUGUUGUUGCCAAUUUGAUAAAACAAUUUGAUCCUCUACUUUCAUUUUAAACAAGUAUUAGGAGGUUGUACUGCAGCUUUGUUAUGGAGUAGGACAUUCUAAAUUUACCUUUGUACUGCAGCUAUUUGGGAGAGAAGUACAAAGAUCAAGAACAAGUGCAUCGAAUUUGUUUGAGUGCCUCUACAGAAAAAAGAGAAAUGAUGCACGUUAUGUACAUAUUGCCAUUGCAUAUUAGCUUUCAAAUAUAGCUUAUAGCAAUUCUGGAUGAAAUUUUUUAUGUGAUUUAAUGUUGUAUGUGAUUAAAUGCUUGAUCAAAAUUUAUUUAUGUGAUGAGAUGUUAAUUUCUUGUUGAUA